Molecule: ribosomal RNA, 254 nt
Filed under: uncultured bacterium
Lineage: Bacteria
Description: partial 16S ribosomal RNA
Rfam family: Bacterial small subunit ribosomal RNA
Source: RNAcentral
CACGUAGGGUGCGAGCGUUGUCCGGAAUUAUUGGGCGUAAAGAGCUCGUAGGCGGUGUGUCACGUCGAUCGUGAAAACUUACAGCUUAACUGUGAGCGUGCGGUCGAUACGGGCAUCACUGGAGUUCGGCAGGGGAGACUGGAAUUCCUGGUGUAGCGGUGAAAUGCGCAGAUAUCAGGAGGAACACCGGUGGCGAAGGCGGGUCUCUGGGCCGAUACUGACGCUGAGGAGCGAAAGCGUGGGGAGCGAACAGG